CGGUGACUAGCCCGUGAGGUCACACGCGUUCCCAUUCCGAACACGACCGUUAAGCUCACGGGACCGAUGAUAGUGCCCACAAGUGCGAAAGUAGGUGUCGCCGGUCU
RNAcentral lists this ribosomal RNA (107 nucleotides) under Alienimonas californiensis. The record is from RNAcentral. Lineage: Bacteria; Pseudomonadati; Planctomycetota; Planctomycetia; Planctomycetales; Planctomycetaceae. RNAcentral also lists the same sequence under 1 other name.